Molecule: ribosomal RNA, 468 nt
Filed under: uncultured bacterium
Lineage: Bacteria
Description: partial 16S ribosomal RNA
Rfam family: Bacterial small subunit ribosomal RNA
Source: RNAcentral
GACGAACGCUGGCGGCGUGCUUAACACAUGCAAGUCGAGCGGAAAGGCCCUGCUUUUGUGGGGUGCUCGAGUGGCGAACGGGUGAGUAACACGUGAGUAACCUGCCCUUGACUUUGGGAUAACUUCAGGAAACUGGGGCUAAUACCGGAUAGGAGCUCCUGCUGCAUGGUGGGGGUUGGAAAGUUUCGGCGGUUGGGGAUGGACUCGCGGCUUAUCAGCUUGUUGGUGGGGUAGUGGCUUACCAAGGCUUUGACGGGUAGCCGGCCUGAGAGGGUGACCGGCCACAUUGGGACUGAGAUACGGCCCAGACUCCUACGGGAGGCAGCAGUGGGGAAUAUUGCACAAUGGGCGGAAGCCCGAUGCAGCAACGCCGCGUGCGGGAUGACGGCCUUCGGGUUGUAAACCGCUUUCGCCUGUGACGAAGCGUGAGUGACGGUAAUGGGUAAAGAAGCACCGGCUAACUACGUG